Molecule: transfer RNA, 362 nt
Filed under: uncultured Microcystis sp.
Lineage: Bacteria; Bacillati; Cyanobacteriota; Cyanophyceae; Chroococcales; Microcystaceae
Description: partial 16S-23S ribosomal RNA intergenic spacer
Rfam family: tRNA (bases 135-208)
Source: RNAcentral
AAGGGAGACCUAAUUCAGGUAGGAGACGAAAAAAAAGUAGUCCCGACCAAGAAUCAAUCCCAAAAGGUCGGAGCGAGGCGAAAUUGGCUUUCAAACUAGGUUCUGGGUUCACACAAGACCUGAAUCAGGAACAAGGGCUAUUAGCUCAGGUGGUUAGAGCGCACCCCUGAUAAGGGUGAGGUCCCUGGUUCGAGUCCAGGAUGGCCCACUUGCACAGGUGGCAAAAACAAGAGAAGCGAGGAAUCAGCACCUUAUCUUAUCUAUAUAUAUAUAGGAGAGAAUGCUGGCUCUGAGUAAAGAGUCCAGAGGAACCUUGAAAACUGCAUAGAGCUAGGUGAAAAAGCCAAAAAAGAAGACCGCAA